This 460-nucleotide ribosomal RNA is filed under the name uncultured bacterium. Its description in RNAcentral is "partial 16S ribosomal RNA". It matches the Rfam family "Bacterial small subunit ribosomal RNA", at positions 61 to 795 of the family's 1533-position model. The record is from RNAcentral.
CCUCCUUUCUUCCUCCUUGCGGCAUCUUGGUCAAUGGACGAGAUUCUGAACCAGCCAAGUAGCGUGAAGGAUGACUGACCUAUGGGUUGUAAACUUCUUUUAUAAAGGAAUAAAACGAGGCACGUGUGCCUUUUUGCAUGUCCUUUAUGAAUCACGCUAGGCUACCUCCGUGCCAGCAGCCGCGGUAAUACGGAGGAUCCGCGCGUUAUCCGGAUUUCGUGGGUUUAAGGGGAGCGUAGAUGGGUUGUUAAGUCAGUUGUGAAAGUUUGCGGCUCAACCGUAAAAUUGCAAGUGAUACUGGCAGUCUUGAGUACAGUUGAGGUAGGCGGAAUUCGUGGUGUAGCGGUGAAAUGCGUAGAUAGCACGAAGAACCCCGAUGGCGAAGGCAGCUUACUAAACUGUGACUGACAUUGAUGCUCGAAAGUGUGGGUAUCAAACAGGAUUAGAUACCCGUGUAGUC